This 433-nucleotide unclassified non-coding RNA is filed under the name Hevea brasiliensis (rubber tree). Lineage: Eukaryota; Viridiplantae; Streptophyta; Magnoliopsida; Malpighiales; Euphorbiaceae. The record is from RNAcentral.
AAUUGAAAUGCUCUCAAAACUUCGCCAUCGCCAUCUUGUUUCUUUGAUUGGUUAUUGUGAAGAGAACUGUGAAAUGAUCCUAGUAUAUGACUACAUGGCUCAUGGUACCCUUCGUGAGCAUCUCUAUAAGACCCAGAAGCCUCCUUUACCUUGGAAGCAGAGGCUUGAGAUUUGUAUUGGUGCUGCUCGUGGGUUGCACUAUCUUCAUACUGGUGCGAAGCAUACUAUUAUCCACCGUGAUGUGAAAACCACUAAUAUCCUCUUGGAUGAGAAAUGGGUGGCAAAGGUUUCUGAUUUUGGGUUGUCUAAAACAGGUCCUACAUUGGAUCACACCCAUGUGAGUACCGUGGUGAAGGGCAGUUUUGGAUAUCUGGAUCCAGAAUACUUCAGAAGGCAGCAACUGACAGACAAAUCUGAUGUGUACUCAUUUGGU